RNAcentral lists this unclassified non-coding RNA (4592 nucleotides) under Neodiprion pinetum (white pine sawfly). Its description in RNAcentral is "uncharacterized LOC124223083, transcript variant X3". Lineage: Eukaryota; Metazoa; Arthropoda; Insecta; Hymenoptera; Diprionidae. The record is from RNAcentral.
CCGCACUUGCCGCUCAGGCUUUGAGCGUCACACACGUGUCGUCGCGCGUGCUUUAUUUUCCUUCGUCGUCGAAUGUAAACACAGAUUCACGCGGCAUUACACGCCCCUCGAGAUAAACCCACGCUACGCGUUACCUCUGCGUAAUAUUACGCGAGGUGGUUUUUUUUUAAUCACGAUCCGGUUGUACUAGUCCGGGAGGUAAUUACCGGGCGGUAAAUUGGAACGACUGUUAAUUGUGACCGGCGUGUCUGUGCGUCGAAACGCCCGUAGAUCGACCUUUGAGUAAACGCGUCUGUUCCCAGACGGAUGAUUGCGUUGAUAUUUCAUAUUUAAUACGCGGAAAAGUGUCGAAAUUAUUGAGGUGCGUCGAGUGGAUCCUACAGGUGUGUUAAACCGUGGUGAUUUGUAUUGGAUUGAACACAAGUCGCGUCGUCGCGGGAUAUAUACAUAAGUGUCUGCAAUAUAGCUGGGUCGGCAUGUUCCUUGACCCCUAGAAGCUCGCCCGAUCGAAGAUGGGGAAUAACAGCAGCUCCCAUCACCACCAUGCGCAGGGUGGAGUGGCUCGUGAAAUGGGACCGGGAUGGACCCACUCCUUCCCGCGGGAAAUGCAUCGACAACAUUUGCAAUCCUCGGGUCACAAGGUUCUCCCUGAACCCCCGAAUCAAAGGCUACGAGCUACGAACAAUGGAAGCAUCAUCCACAACGGUGGGACCAUCAGCGGACGGAGGCCUUCCGCGCUGACGUUGCCACACGAUCUUAACAAGCAAGCCGCCUAUCGUACCAGAAGUGCGUCAGCAUCAAAUUUUGGGCAACCGCGAGCACAGAACGGUGAUCUUCAAUACCAGCACGGGGAUCCGAGAGACAGGGAAUUCCAGGAAUUCAAAAGGUUUGGAAGCGAACCCGACCUGAGAUACUCGCCCACUGAACAGGGGAGAUACGAACGUCAUCAGGGAUAUCCGGAAAGAGACGCUAAGGAACGGGACAGCAGGUACAACAAGGGUAAGAAGAAGUACAAGGCACCGCCUCCGCCGAAUGGAGACGGCUCAUCGCCGGACUCCUACAACUGGUCACCUGGUAAUGACAGAGAAUCAAUGAGGCCUGGAGAGGAAAUACGACCACCGCCUAGGAAAUCGAGACUCUUCAAGACUCGCGCCGAGACGAAGAGGGCACAGGCGAAUUGGACGUCGCUUCAGGAACGGGAAGUUGAGAGCAAGAGGUGGAACGACGAGCAAUCCGGCAAGGAGAAUCUUGGCUGGAAGCAGCAGCAAGAACGUUGGGACAAAGAGGAAAGAAGGCCCAAAGUUUUCGAUGGAAAAAAUACGCUCCAGCGGAGUUUGAGCAGCCCAGAGUUUCAGGCCGAGCUGAUGUUAGCAGCGAGAAAAGUUAGGAGUAAAAUGAAUUAUCAGCGAGAGGGUCCGGUGGGAGAAGCCAGGCCUACGAGUCACAGAGAAUAUUUGACGAAAAAUCAGAAAGAAUUCAUUGAUGAGAGACGCAUCGAAGGGAAGAGCGCAAGACAACAGGAGGAACGGUUCAUCGACGAACGGAGAGCUGAGAAAAAGAAUUCGAGAAACCAGGAUGUUUCCUACGAUCAUAGAAGAACUGAACAGCAACACGACGGAGGGUUUCAGAGGGGGGCUUUAAACGAUCGUCAAAACGAACGAAAUUCAUGGCGAAAUAAAAUGUUGAAAAAGUCUGCGACUUACGAUGAUGAGAUUGCUGCGUCACAACGUAUAAUUGCCGAGAAGAAGUUGUUUAUGGACAGAAUUGAGAAGCGUGGGCAAUCUUUGGAUGAUCGACUUUCCGAUAAGCAGAAAAUGGAGAAUUUCGAAGAAAGGAGAGGUGAUCAACAUCGGCACAAAGCAUUCGACGAUUUCGUGGAGAUGGAGAAACGAGGCGAAACACAGACGAGAGCUGAGAGUCCUAUGCGACAGUAUAGGGACAAAAGUAACGAUCACAGAAGUCAGGGUUCAGGCAGGGAAAGUACGCCUGAGCCUUCAAAAAGUAAGGAUCUUGCUAAUUUUGAACUGCGUAACAACAUUAAAACGGAUUUCCGAAGCAGUGGUUAUAAAAAUGAGGAGAACAGACGUUCGGAGCCUAUUUUGAAAACGGACAAUCAGGAAUUGAAUUCAAAAGAAAAGCUGUCGAGGAAACCGGAUGUCAGGAGUCCGCCGGUGAAAAAUUGGGAGAUACUACCACCAGCUGGGAAAUCGCCUCCAAAGACAUUCUACUUUGGCAUGGAUAUCACUGCAACUUCGAAGGAAUCGCGAGAUCUAAUGGAACGUCAGAUGGAACAGAUUCAAGCAAGGCUUAAUCACAACAGAGAACUUAGUAGCUCACCUGAGACCUCACCUGGUGAGAUGGAUGAUAAUUUUCAGGAUAAGAUCCUACAUACUGGGGAGGACAUUGCUUUAAAGUUACGGCCUACACUACCGAAGAAGCAAUUGGAAAUUCCUCGGUUUUCACCAUCAGCUGCUUGGAGAUUGCUAUCUGCAUUAGAUGCUCCAUAUCCAACUAUGAGCACAGCAAGCGAAGAAGGACCGGUACUGUUCGAAGAACGCAUAGAACGUUUAUCGAGACCACCGCCACCUCUGGUAGCUCUUGGUCCACGAAGUUCGCAUGACAAAUCUGGAGACUCUGGAAUUUCGGGUGAUGCUGGAGCUCUCAACGACGACCCGUUGGAUAUAAUCACAAACCGAGCAAAGGCUUCGAUUAGACCGGCUUGGACGCCUCAACAAGAUCUGGGCGAGGAAUCUAGUAGCGAUGCAGGUGUUGAUUCUCCUCCACCUAUGGCUACGCCGGUCAAGUUUCCCCCAAGACCUCAUGUUUUUUCUCUAUCCUUACCCAGAGAUGACAAUAGAAUGUCGUUGUACAAUCCCGAAUUCAAGAACAAAGAGUCGUCCUCUUUUAAUUCCUUGCAGAAAUUGAAAAGAUCUGUCUCUGGAGCUCUCGGAUUAGGAGCCAUAGAUGUUGACAGGAAACAAGAUAACGAUGUUUUAGAUGGGAAUUGGCUUUUAUCUACGAGUGCUCCAAAUUCUUUGCAACAUACUCCACCAAACGUUGAAGGAACUAAUACACCAUCUCCUGGAUGGGAAACCAAUUUUCCGGAAAAUGAAGAUGACGAAAAGCCUGAAUUUCCGAUUAUUAUGAAACCACCAUCAUUUUCUUAUCUAGCCUCCGGUGGACACGUUAUGUAUCUACCCGAAUCCAAUGCUACCGAAUAUCAAACGCAAAGUCUCAAUUACCGUAACAGUAGUACCGAGGAAAAGAAUUCAAAUAACUCUAAUAUAAAGUAUAAAAAGAGUACAAACGAAUCGAAAAAAGUAUUCAGAUAUCCCAGUGCAGACAUUCAAAAAUAUUCCAAAGAAUCCAAAGAGUUUGGGCUCUUCAGAGAAAGACGAUUUACCGAUGGUGGAUUAACGUCGAGAAAGUAUUCAAACUUAUCAAAAUCAUGCGAGAACAUUUCGGAAAUGAAACAAAGAGAACGUUCACCGUCACCUGGACCGGAAAACUUACAAGAUGUCAAGGAUAGUUUAUCUGAUCUAAAGGCUUCUGCAAAACGUAACUCUAAAAGCAAACGGUUUACAUUCCAGUCAACUGUACGACAAAUCGAGAGACGCAGACUAGCAGAAAAGUUGUCUCGAGAAGCAGAAGCUAAGGAACAGCAAAGAAAAGGAGAGCUAGAAGCAAUGAGGAAAGUCGAAGAAGAGUUUCAGAAAAAACGUGCAAGAGAAAAGGCCAAUAUUAGGCAACAGCUUAGACUGUUCAACAUGGAUGAAACUACCGGAAGCCUACCAGUUGUCUGGGACAAUACGCAGUUAUCUCGUGCGGACCCUGACGGUGCACCUUCGUCGUCAGCUUCAUCCCCUAUCUCGGCGCCGCCUAGUAAACUAUCAGCGGCGAGAAAAAACAGUGCUAGUAGUGACGAAUACAAUCGAAAAGCUAAUCUUAGUUUACACCAUAUGCAUUCUGAAUAUCGACAACAUCAACAACAAAGAGAGUAUAAAGACUACAGGUCAAGGUAUUACGACUGUGGUCCUGAAAGUGCACCACACAUUGAAUUCAAGCAAACUACAAUUCAUCCGAAAGUCGUGUACGAUAUUCCCAAGAGCGCUCCUGUCUUUGUUGACGCAAAAAUUCAUCCAAACAAACCAGUAAAUCUUAAUUCUACUCCUAGGUCAGACAACUAUAGGAAAGAUUUUGCACACGGUGCCGUAGCAGCAAGAUCGUCGCUGGCAAGCAGCGAUAGCGAGUUAUCUCAGCCAAAUACCAGACCACAUUCACGGCAAACGCCAACUAAAGUCAGAAUUCAUCGAUCUAGGUUUUAAGGUGGGCAUAAAGUAAGUAGUCUUAACACCUCUAGUCACCUAACAACGCUUCAUUAAAACAAACGCAAUCAACCGCUUCUAACUACGCCUUGGGUUGGGUGUAGUUCACAACAGUAUAACGCAUAGGUCGGCAAGCCCUGCCAGGAGCCAUGAGGAUGCCAGCUCGGAAGAGGAAUCCCCCGUCGAACCAAUCACACGUGAAAGAGUGCCGUCAAAUAAUUUGAUGCUAAACGCAAUCCAACCAUUUGUCAGGGAAAAAAGUUAUCG